RNAcentral lists this unclassified non-coding RNA (441 nucleotides) under Hevea brasiliensis (rubber tree). The record is from RNAcentral. Lineage: Eukaryota; Viridiplantae; Streptophyta; Magnoliopsida; Malpighiales; Euphorbiaceae.
GAUGGUAUGCAGCAUGUCGGAAAGCUCAUAUGUAGCAACUUAGGCGCAAGGAUGGAUUCUGAGCCUAAACGUUGGAGAAUCUUAGCUGAUGUUCUGUAUGACUUUGGGACUGGUUUAGAAGUUAUGUCUCCUUUAUGCCCGCAUUUAUUUCUUGAAGUUGCUGGCCUGGGCAAUUUUGCAAAGGGAAUGGCAGUUGUUGCAGCUAGAGCAACACGAUUGCCUAUAUAUUCUUCAUUUGCCAAAGAAGGCAAUCUUAGUGAUCUGUUUGCUAAAGGUGAGGCUAUUUCCACUCUUUUUAAUGUUCUCGGGCUUGGAGCAGGAAUUCACUUAGCAUCCACUAUUUGUUCAUCAAUGCAGGGAAAGGUACUAUUUUAUUUAUAUUCAAGAUAUUAUUGUACAUUUUUCCUUUUCUGAUUCAAUCCAUUUGUAGUGCUUCCAAAU